GACGAACGCUGGCGGCGUGCUUAACACAUGCAAGUCGAACGCUGAAGCUUGGUGCUUGCACUGGGUGGAUGAGUGGCGAACGGGUGAGUAAUACGUGAGUAACCUGCCCUUGACUCUGGGAUAAGCCUGGGAAACUGGGUCUAAUACUGGAUAUGACAUGCCACUGCAUGGUGGUGUGUGGAAAGGGUUUUACUGGUUUUGGAUGGGCUCACGGCCUAUCAGCUUGUUGGUGGGGUAAUGGCCUACCAAGGCGACGACGGGUAGCCGGCCUGAGAGGGUGACCGGCCACACUGGGACUGAGACACGGCCCAGACUCCUACGGGAGGCAGCAGUGGGGAAUAUUGCACAAUGGGCGGAAGCCUGAUGCAGCGACGCCGCGUGAGGGAUGACGGCCUUCGGGUUGUAAACCUCUUUCAGCACGGAAGAAGCGAGAGUGACGGUACGAGCAGAAGAAGCGCCGGCUAACUACGUG
Molecule: ribosomal RNA, 472 nt
Filed under: uncultured bacterium
Lineage: Bacteria
Description: partial 16S ribosomal RNA
Rfam family: Bacterial small subunit ribosomal RNA
Source: RNAcentral